GAUGAACGCUGGCUACAGGCUUAACACAUGCAAGUCGAGGGGAAACGGCAUUGAGUGCUUGCACUGAAUGGACGUCGACCGGCGCACGGGUGAGUAACGCGUAUCCAACCUUCCCGUUACUGCGGGAUAACCUGCCGAAAGGCAGACUAAUACCGCAUGUUCUUCGAUGACGGCAUCAGAUUCGAAGCAAAGAUCCGUCGGUAACGGAGGGGGAUGCGUCUGAUUAGCUAGUUGGCGGGGCGACGGCCCACCAAGGCGACGAUCAGUAGGGGUUCUGAGAGGAAGGUCCCCCACAUUGGAACUGAGACACGGUCCAAACUCCUACGGGAGGCAGCAGUGAGGAAUAUUGGUCAAUGGGCGGAAGCCUGAACCAGCCAAGUAGCGUGCAGGAGGACGGCCCUACGGGUUGUAAACUGCUUUUAUGCGGGGAUAAAGUGAGGGACGCGUCCCUUUUUGCAG
Molecule: ribosomal RNA, 459 nt
Filed under: Prevotella denticola
Lineage: Bacteria; Pseudomonadati; Bacteroidota; Bacteroidia; Bacteroidales; Prevotellaceae
Description: bacterial SSU rRNA
Rfam family: Bacterial small subunit ribosomal RNA
Source: RNAcentral